This is a non-coding RNA of Taeniopygia guttata (zebra finch), 1071 nucleotides long. Lineage: Eukaryota; Metazoa; Chordata; Aves; Passeriformes; Estrildidae. The record is from RefSeq and is a predicted model, not a curated record.
CUGCACUGAUUUUGUUGCCAUUCUUUCAGAUUUUUCUCUUAAGUACGUCUAUUGGGGUUUAUCACUGGGGAAUUGCCAGCUUUGCUGAGGGGAAAAACAUCUUUAAUUUAGAAAUAUUUUUUUUUUCUUGUGACAGAAAAUGAAAUAUAAGUUAUCAUCAGAUUUUCAAACCUGGGUUUGAAAAUGGAACUUGGAGAAGAAUGCAUGAUCCUAACAGUCAAGAGGAAUUUCUUCAUGGGUUGUCUGACACUGGAAUGAGCUCUCCAGGUUCCCUUUAGGCACUGGGAAGUAUCCCUGGAGUUUCUUCCUCAGGCUGAACAGCUCUCAGCCCAGUGUCAUACCAGCAGUGCUCCAACCCUCUGAUGGUCUUGCUGGCUCUCCUCUAGACCUGUCUAACAGGUCCACCUCUUUCUCCAGGCUUGUGUGAUGUGGAGAAUUGCUUCAGCACAGAGAGACUGCAAACCUGUUCAAUUAAAGGAAAUGCUCAGAUCCAGCUGUUGGAGUCCCAUGAAUGCCAGUACUCCUCACAGAGUAAGACCAACACACUCUGCCCUUGGAACAGAUACGAUGAUUUGUGCCUUAAUUCUCCAGAAAAAAAGAGCCUUUGUUGGGAGAGGACGAUUGGGGAAUGGAGGAGGAAUGCAAAGCGUGUGCAGAAAAUGCCCAGUGAGACCAAGUUUUCUGCAGAUAACACAGAGGGCUCUAUAGCAUGAGCCCGGUAACAAGGCACCAUCGAAGCACGUACGGUACAAGCUCCUGUUACAGCUAUAGAAUUGUCUUGUACGCUUUGUAAAUGCUUUCCUCUCAUGAAAAAAAAACAUGCUGUGGAGUAAUUUACCCUGUGCUUUCACUUCCAAGGAGCAGGCCAACAAGCACAGCCCUGGUAUGUGACCACACAGUGCACUAUUUGUGCCUGGGCUUUCAGUUUCCUUAGUUUUGGUGACAAGUUUCUUGUCGGUGACAGAAGUGUUGGGCCAGUGUUGGAUGGUCACCUAGAUAUGCUAGAUGAUUUUGUACAGGUGUUUUUAUAAAAGCCCUUUUAUAUCUUUUAUGUAUAGCUAUACUUAUCAA